RNAcentral lists this ribosomal RNA (253 nucleotides) under uncultured bacterium. RNAcentral's name for it is "partial 16S ribosomal RNA". It matches the Rfam family "Bacterial small subunit ribosomal RNA", at positions 524 to 776 of the family's 1533-position model. The record is from RNAcentral.
GACGUAGGGUGCGAGCGUUGUCCGGAUUUAUUGGGCGUAAAGAGCGUGUAGGCGGCCAGACAGGUCAGCUGUGAAAACUCGAGGCUCAACCUCGAGACGUCGGUUGAAACCGUCUGGCUAGAGUCCGGAAGAGGAGAGUGGAAUUCCCGGUGUAGCGGUGAAAUGCGCAGAUAUCGGGAAGAACACCCGUGGCGAAGGCGGCUCUCUGGGACGGUACUGACGCUGAGACGCGAAAGCGUGGGGAGCGAACAGG